Molecule: long non-coding RNA, 5762 nt
Organism: Oncorhynchus tshawytscha (Chinook salmon)
Lineage: Eukaryota; Metazoa; Chordata; Actinopteri; Salmoniformes; Salmonidae
Source: Ensembl
GUUACUUAUCUAGAUGAUAUUGUGUUACUUAUCUAGAUGGUAGUGUGUUACUUAUCUAGAUGAUAUUGUGUUACUUAUCUAGAUGAUAUUGUGUUACUUAUCUAGAUGAUAGUGUGUUUCUUAUCUAGAUGAUAGUGUGUUACUUAUCUAGAUGAUAGUGUGUUACUUAUCUAGAUGAUAUUGUGUUACUUAUCUAGAUGUGUGUUACUUAUCUAGAUGGUAGUGUGUUACUUAUCUAGAUGAUAUUGUGUUACUUAUCUAGAUGAUAUUGUUUUAUCUAGAUGAUAGUGUGUUACUUAUCUAGAUAUUGUGUUACUUAUCUAGAUGAUAUUGUGUUACUUAUCUAGAUGGUAGUGUGUUACUUAUCUAGAUGGUACCCAACUCUUCAGGGUAUAGAUUUGUGAGAAUGUUAAGGCAGGGAGAGAAAAAAAGGAAAACCGCUCACUGAAAGGUCAGAACACUUUUUUGUUUGUUUGUCCUACAACAUUUUUGAAGAAAUGUCUAGGAAACGUGACUGUGCCUUUGUAGACAAAAAGACUCAGAGAAACAGGCGGUGUUUUAUACAAGCUUUAUUACAACUUGGUUAACAGCUGUACAUGUCAGAGCGUAGGAAGCACAUUUUAUCAACAAGUUUCAAAUGGACAGGUAACUAUGACCACUAAUGUCCUCCUCCACUGUUUGUUAGUCCCAUACAGUGUGUACAUAUUAUACAAGCAGCAAUAUAAAACUUGGCAAAUGGAAAGGUUUUUUGCUACUUUAUUUUUUAAUGUAAAAUAAGUCUUUCCUAUGAAUAAAAAAUACAGCAACCAUAAAACCUGGCGAUUAAGUUCUGACUGAAAAGCCUCAGUUCUUUAAACUGUAUUUUCUCCUAGAGGUUUUUUUAGCCUCUAGGAAAACCAGAUUGAACGCUACGCUCACAAUUGUUUGAAACAUUCAGUCUGGUGUAACUAUGCUAGAGGUUUAUUGUCCUGUGUAGAACACUGGCCUGGUCCCAGAUCACUUGUCAAGACAGCACACACUGAUCUGGGACCAGGCCAGGAGACUAACCGAUCUGGGACCAGGCCAGGAGACUAAGAUCUGGGACCAGGCCAGAAGACUAACCAAUCUGGGACCAGGCCAGGAGACUAACCAAUCUGGGACCAGGCCAGGAGACUAACCGAUCUGGGACCAGGCCAGGAGAAGAUCUGGGACCAGGCCAGGAGACUAACCGAUCUCUGGGACCGAUCUGGGACCAGGCCAGGAGACUAACCGAUCUGGGACCAGGCCAGGAGACUAACCAUCUGGGACCAGGCCAGACUAACCGAUCUGGGACCAGGCCAGGAGACCAACCGAUCUGGGACCAGGCCAGGAGACUAACCGAUCUGGGACCAGGCCAGGAGACUAACCGAUCUGGGACCAGGCCAGGAGACUAACCGAUCUGGGACCAGGCCAGGAGACUAACCGAUUUGGGACCAGGCCAGGAGACUAACUGAUCUGGGACCAUGCCAGGAGACCAACCGAUCUGGGACACAAGUAGUAACACGUUGCCCUACCAAUCAUAUCACCACAUGUCAGGAGACUAGUAUUUAACACAAGUAGAGACACGUUGCCCUACCAAUCAUAUCACCACAUGUCAGGAGACUAGUAUUUAACACAAGUAGUAACAGCCAUACAAAGUUCAUCAGUUACAUAAUAAUAUGGACACAUCCUUUUAUUAUAAACUGAAAAAAACACAGUAUCAGCAACAAGUCAAUAAGUCUAGUCUUACUCACACCGGUUUGGUUUUUACACUCGAGGCGAAAGCACUUUCAACAUGUUCAUGAUAUAACAUGAUAGGAAAGAUCCUCUUUGACUUCUACCCGUCUGUCCAUUGGUUAGUGGUCCAUUAGUGACGCAGCGGGUCUAGAGGCAUCGCUACAGACCCGGGUUCGAUCCCGGGCCCAGUGUCGUCCGGGCUAGGGGAAGGUUUGAACAGGGUAGGCCGUCAUUGUAAAUAAGAAUUGUUCUUGCUUAGUUCAAUAAAGGUUCAAUAAAAAAUGAAAACGUGUGUUUGUUCUCGUACUAAAAUGAAUGUUUUAUACUGGACAGGUGGAGGUAGAACAUCCCCAUUUCAGUCCGUUUUCUAACGUUUGGUGCCUAAUGAACAUGACCCGGGACAGGGCAGUCUUACUACGUGGGCCAUCUGCUAAUGAACCACGACCCGGGACAGGGCAGUCUUACUACGUGGGCCAUCUGCUAAUGAACCACGACCCGGGACAGGGCAGUCUUACUGCGUGAGCCAUCUGCUAAUGAACCACGACCCGGGACAGGGCAGUCUUACUGCGUGAGCCAUCUGCUAAUGAACUACGACCCGGGACAGGGCAGUCUUACUGCGUGGGCCAUCUGCUAAUGAACCACGACCCGGGACAGGGCAGUCUUACUGCGUCGGCCAUCUGCUAAUGAACCACGACCCGGGACAGGGCAGUCUUACUGCGUCCGCCAUCUGCUAAUGAACCACGACCCGGGACAGGGCAGUCUUACUGCGUCGGCCAUCUGCUAAUGAACCACGACCCGGGACAGGGCAGUCUUACUGCGUCCGCCAUCUGCUAAUGAACCACGACCCGGGACAGGGCAGUCUUACUGCGUCCGCCAUCUGCUAAUGAACCACGACCCGGGACAGGGCAGUCUUACUGCGUCGGCCAUCUUGCUGUAUUUUUUCAAAAAGGCUCUGCCAUGGCAUCCUAUCAACAAGCCUACUUGUUUUAUAAAAAGGUUAGAGAAAGGUUUUACACAUUUUAUACAAUGUAGGAAAUGUAUGAAUCUAAGUCAAUACUGCAUAUGUAUGCAUGAAUCUAAGUCAAUACUGCAUAUGUAAGGCGAAUAAAAACAGGAAUACAUAUCAAAGUCAUAAAGGCUAGAUAGAAGCAUGUGAUCUCUUCUACCAAUUUAAAGAGAGAGAAACACAUCGAGGUUAUUAUCAGUGAAAUAAAGAAGCAGAGCACUCCUUACAUAGAGAAGUCAUCAGAACACUUAAACGGAAAUACAUGGAAACUGAACAUCUAGACUGAGUGUAGAAAACAUUAAGAACACCUGCUCUUUCCGUGACAUAGAGCCCCCCAACUCAACUCUGGAACAGUUUGAAUCCAGGUCUGAUUUAGACAUGGGACACCAGGGCCUGAUUUAGACAUGGGACACCAGGGUCUGGUUUAGACAUGGGACACCAGGGCCUGAUUUUGACAUGGGACACCAGGGUCUGAUUUAGACAUGGGACACCAGGGUCUGAUUUAGACAUGGGACACCAGGGUCUGAUUUAGACAUGGGACACCAGGGCCUGAUUUAGACAUGGGACACCAGGGUCUGAUUUUGACAUGGGACACCAGGGCCUGAUUUAGACAUGGGACACCGGUGCCUGGUUUAGACAUGGGACACCAGGGUCUGGUUUAGACAUGGGACACCAGGGCCUGAUUUAGACAUGGGACACCGGGGCCUGGUUUAGACAUGGGACACCGGGGCCUGAUGGGACACCAGGGCCUUAGACAUGGGACACCGGGGCCUGAUUUAGACAUGGGACACCGGGGUCUGAUUUAGACAUGGGACACCGGGGUCUGAUUUAGACAUGGGACACCAGGGUCUGAUUUAGACAUGGGACACCAGGGCCUGAUUUUGACAUGGGACACCAGGGCCUGAUUUAGACAUGGGACACCAGGGCCUGAUUUAGACAUGGGACACCGGGUAGAUGAAGGGGAGGAGACAGGUUACAGAAGGAUUUUUAAGCCUUGAGACAAUUGAGACAUGUAUUGUGUAUGUGUGCCAUUCAGAGGGUGAAAUGGACGAGACAAAAUAUUGAAGUUCCUUUGAACAUUAGUAGGUGCCAGACGCACCGGUUUGAGUCGUGAACUUUAACCCUGCUGGGUUUUUCACUCUCAACAGUUUCCCGUGUGGAUCAAGAAUGGUUCACCACCCAAAAGACAUCCAGCCAACUUGGAACAACAGUGGGAAGUAUUGGAGUUAACAUGGACCAGCAUCCCUGUGGAACGGCUUCGACACCUUGUAGAGUCCAGAGUCUAAUGUUUUGUACACUCAGUAUAUACACAUUUGAUUAGAGGAUCAUGUGAAAUAAAUGAUGAUAUUGCUCUUUUCCUCUCAGACCCAGUGAAACACAAAGAGAGAGAAGUGGGUGGAACACCCAACAGAUACACACCAGGUUUACAGUACAGUGUUGCUAGUCGCUUGAUCAUCGUCAUUGUCAAAGUCUACAGAAAACCAUCCGGUCACUAAGAAUAACACUGUCUUCCAUGUAGUCCUCGCUUUGCACCACACAUUUAGAACAAGAGGUUUCUUUGACCUUGGACACAGCAUGAAGAAUCUUUCAAAUGUUUUUGUUUUGUUUAUCCCCAGCCCUAGCUCCAGCUCUCCCCGUUACCCCACCAGAGACGACUGUUGUUGUCUCAGAGUAUGUCAUGACGAUAGAGGUUCGCAAGCAGAUGCAGGUCUGUGAAGGAAGGAGGAGGAGGAGGGGGGCGGUAGGUUAGGGUGGCCUCUGAGAGGGCGGCGCCGUCUCGGUCUGUAGAGAGCCCUUACCCCCCCCAGUCCUGGGCAUAAUCUGGGCCCGCCCGCCCGGCCCGUCCUCCGUUAGAGUUGAGGGUUAGUGUUGAAUUGAUGAAGGGUUAUUUUCAGCUCGACUCAUUAUUAAGCCAUGGUCAUGCACCCGCCCAUCACCCCUGCCUGCGCUGGUCAUGUAAUGUCAUCACUGUGGAGAGGAGGGAAAAGAGAAGAGGAGGGAGAGAGAGAAGGAGGGAGAGAGAGAGAGGAGGGAAAAGAGAGGAGUCGAGAGAGAGAGAGAGAGAGGAGGCGAGAGAGAGAGAGAGAGAGAGACAACAACAACCAGUAAGAGGUUUGGUUAUAAUGAUACAGCAGAUCAUGAUCAAAACGGUCUGAUAGAGGGUGAAUGAAGGAGGGGUUCAAAGCCAUGAACAGUUCUCAACUACCACAGAUCUUUCACCAGAAUAUAGACACAUUUGAUGUGCCACUAGAAACCACUAAACAGUCAUGUUGCCGCCCUGUAGGUUUACAUCUAUCUAGUCCAGGGCUCUCCAACCCUGUUCCUGGAGAGAUACCCUCCUCUAGGUUUACAUCUAUCUAGUCCAGGGCUCUCCAACCCUGUUCCUGGAGAGAUACCCUCCUCUAGGUUUACAUCUAUCUAGUCCAGGGCUCUCCAACCCUGUUCCUGGAGAGAUACCAUCCUCUAGGUUUACAUCUAUCUAGUCCAGGGUUCUCCAACCCUGUUCCUGGAAAGAUACCCUCCUCUAGGUUUACAUCUAUCUAGAACAGGGCUCUCCAACCCUGUUCCUGGAGAGAUACCCUCCUGUAGGUUUACAUCUAUCUAGUCCAGGGCUCUCCAACCCUGUUCCUGCAGAGAUACCAUCCUGUAGGUUUACAUCUAUCUAGACCAUUGGCUCUCCAACCCUGUUCCUGGAGAGAUACCAUCCUGUAGGUUUACAUCUAUCUAGUCCAGGGCUCUCCAACCCUGUUCCUGGAGAGAUACCAAAGUUUAUAACCACCUCCCUGUGAAGUUUAUAAUCAUCUUCCCUGUAAAGUUUAUAAACCUCCUCCCUGUAAAGUUUAUAAUCGUCCUCCCUGUAAAGUUUAUAACCCUCCUCCCUAUAUAGUUUAUAAUCCACCUCCCUGUAAAGUUUAUAAUCCACCUCACUGUAAAGUUUAUAAUCCACCUCACUGUAAAGUUUAUAAUCCACCUCCCUGUAUAGUUUAUAAUCCACCUCCCUAUAUAGUUUAUAAUCCACCUC